CACCCCGACGAGAUGAGGGAGACACUGUGGGGUCCGGUUGGGUCAUGACUGUGUGCGGAAAGCCUUAAAAAGGCUUGUGUGCCCUUUGACCCAUUAUUUCUGAUUAUAGGAAUUUCUGCAGAGUUUAUAAUCAAAGGUGUUCUGUAUUCUAGGACUAAAAAAUCCUGAAGUACCCUAACUGUGAAUUCCUGGGGGAUUUGUUAAAUAAUCUGUGGAGUGACAGUAUUUCCUGCUCUAAAAGGAACGUGGCAAGAACAGCGUACCGAUGUGGCUCAGUGUUCAUGACGUAGCGUUAUGGAUGUGUACGGUCGGAUUCCGGUUCUGAGAAUAAUCACAUACCCAUGUGUGUUUGUGCGCGCGCGCGUGUGUGUGUGUGUGAGUGUGUGAGAGAGAGAUACGAAAAGUUUGGAAAAAUAUAUGCCAGCACUUAAACCUGGUUAUUUGUGAAUGUUUCAUUUCGGUCUUUGAAAACCUAAGUAUUUUCUUAAACUCUUAUAAUUGGUUUUGUAACAAAAAAAUAAAUCAUCGUUUAAGGCACUGAGUAAUAUUUAUUAUCCAAAGGCAGGCAGUAAUCACUGGCAAAGACAGUCUCCUCACCACUGGACUUUAGACUCUUCAUCUUCACACAUGUCCUUUCCUGAGCAGAAAAGUACACUCUUACAUGUCGUGUUGAAAUCACAGCACUGAGUCGUGCAUCACCGAGGCAACAGCGCCUUGCAGAAUGUAUUGCUUCCCGGCCUGCAAAGGAGCCAAACCCAGGUGUAGCCGAGUCUGUGGCGCCUCCCUGGCCGGACCUACACUUUCCCCUGCACAUUCAUACCAGGGGAUGCAGGGGGAAGCCAGCCGACUGACUGCUGUGACCAGACCCGUGACCCAGUGACACCGGGAAGGAACUUGGUCCCUAGGGCCCAGGAAUUCCUGACAGGCGUUUCUGAUGACCCAGAGAGGUGCAUCUGGGCUGCUUGCCCCCCGUCCUCCCGCAGUGCCGCGUCUCCCAGAGCUGAGGAGCACGGGAGUCUUCAUCCCUCCAGUGGAGUGCCAGUCGGUAAGGGCUUGGGAAGGGGAGCCGGCACCAGAGCCCCUGGCUGGGGCUCCCUGUGUGGGGAGCCCAGGAAGCCCACAGCCCUGAGUCCCUCCCCGCCCGCACCUCCAGGGAGGGGCUGUCCUAGCCCCGUUUCCCAGAGAGAAAGUAGGGAAUAAAAGACACCGGACCACUUGCCUCGAGCUUGCCGGUCAGUGACACUUCGGGCUUUGGAACCCCUGUCUGGACCCAGAACCUUCCUUACCCACCUCUCCUGGGAUCUCCAAACUCCAGAGGGCAUCGGACUCACUGGGGG
This 1337-nucleotide long non-coding RNA is filed under the name Ursus thibetanus thibetanus. Its description in RNAcentral is "lncRNA (ENSUTTG00000004668.1)". The record is from RNAcentral. Lineage: Eukaryota; Metazoa; Chordata; Mammalia; Carnivora; Ursidae.